Molecule: ribosomal RNA, 476 nt
Filed under: uncultured bacterium
Lineage: Bacteria
Description: partial 16S ribosomal RNA
Rfam family: Bacterial small subunit ribosomal RNA
Source: RNAcentral
GAUGAACGCUGGCGGCGUGCUUAACACAUGCAAGUCGAGCGAGUGAGUUCUUCGGAACGAUCUAGCGGCGGACGGGUGAGUAACACGUGGGCAACCUGCCUCAUAGAGGGGAAUAGCCUCCCGAAAGGGAGAUUAAUACCGCAUAACAUCGUUGAAGGGCAUCCUUCGAUGAUCAAAGGAGCAAUCCGUUAUGAGAUGGGCCCGCGGCGCAUUAGCUAGUUGGUGAGGUAACGGCUCACCAAGGCGACGAUGCGUAGCCGACCUGAGAGGGUGAUCGGCCACAUUGGGACUGAGACACGGCCCAGACUCCUACGGGAGGCAGCAGUGGGGAAUAUUGCACAAUGGGGGAAACCCUGAUGCAGCAACGCCGCGUGAGUGAUGACGGCCUUCGGGUUGUAAAGCUCUGUCUUUGGGGACGAUAAUGACGGUACCCAAGGAGGAAGUCACGGCUAACUACGUGCCAGCAGCCGCCGUAA